UGUGCGUAUUGUUAAUUAAGUUUUAACCUUUAAGCUGUAAUAGGGAGUUUUAUAUCGAAGCCGGAAUGUCAUGCCUCCAUUGCAGAGGACGACAGGAACGUUUCUGCAAACACCCACUUUGAGGAGGGGUGGUGUAAAACUUUCUUACUUGCAUACGGCA
This 160-nucleotide non-coding RNA is filed under the name Bacillus inaquosorum. RNAcentral describes it as "6S RNA". It matches the Rfam family "6S / SsrS RNA", at positions 13 to 174 of the family's 187-position model. From Rfam's summary of the family: E. coli 6S RNA was the first non coding RNA to be sequenced, but its function was unknown until recently. It consists of 184 nucleotides that fold into an extended hairpin structure with a large single-stranded internal bulge. The 6S RNA specifically associates with RNA polymerase holoenzyme containing the sigma70 specificity factor. The record is from RNAcentral. Lineage: Bacteria; Bacillati; Bacillota; Bacilli; Caryophanales; Bacillaceae.